UCCAAAGUCACAAAAUUUGUUGUUCUGCC
Molecule: non-coding RNA, 29 nt
Filed under: Mus musculus (house mouse)
Lineage: Eukaryota; Metazoa; Chordata; Mammalia; Rodentia; Muridae
Source: RNAcentral